This 397-nucleotide ribosomal RNA is filed under the name Chloroflexota bacterium. RNAcentral's name for it is "bacterial SSU rRNA". It matches the Rfam family "Bacterial small subunit ribosomal RNA", at positions 1 to 396 of the family's 1533-position model. The record is from RNAcentral. Lineage: Bacteria; Bacillati; Chloroflexota.
AAUUUUUGAAGAGUUUGAUCCUGGCUCAGGACGAACGCUGGCGGUGCGCUUAAUGCAUGCAAGUCGAACGAACCCAUCCGCUUCGGCGGGGACGGAGAGUGGCAGACGGCUGAGUAACACGUAAGUGACCAACCCCGGAGCGGGGGACAAGCCGGAGAAAUCCGGUCUAAUACCCCAUACGUUCCAUUAGCUAAGGCUAAUGGAAGAAAGAUUUAUUACUCUGGGACGGGCUUGCGGCCUAUCAGAUAGUUGGUGGGGUAAUGGCCUACCAAGUCUAAGACGGGUACCCGGUGUGAGAGCACGAACGGGCAGAGGGGGACUGAGACACGGCCCCCACUCCUACGGGAGGCAGCAGCAGGGAAUCUUGCGCAAUGGGCGAAAGCCUGACGCAGCGACA